GAGGGUGCCCACCCCGACCCUACGCCCAUCUAGGACGGCCGGAAGACUCGACGUCUCGGUAGUCUUCAGGGGGCAGACGCUCCCCUCCCGAAGCUACCUCCUCACGUGGCGCCUCGCUGCCAAGUGCCCCAACCUGCGCGGCGCGGGACCGCAGGAGUCACCUCAAGUGCUGGGGACCCCAGGAGCCGGUGGGAGGGUCCAGCGGGUGGAAAACCCCGCCUAGGGGAUCGCUCCGGAAGUGGCCACCGGCGCCGCGCCCAAGAUGGUGGGGGCUACGCGAUGGCGGCCGCAGCGGGGGCCCUGAUCGAGCGGGAGGCUGGGAUAGUCUGGAGAUUUUCAACCUGAGUUCCUGACCCAUUGAUCCAUCCAUUUCCUGAGUAUUUCUUCCUUGAUACCCUACAGAAAUUUAAGAAGCUGCAGGAUGCUGCAAAUGAGUCACAAAACAAUGAUGGAUACCAGGUCUGCACUCGGUGGAAGUUCUGCAAGAAAGACAUGCUAGAAAAGGAGAUAGAUCUGGUCUCACUAGUGCUGGGGAUCAAACUCAGGGACUUAUGCUUGCAACACAAGCACUCUACCGACUGAGCUAUCUCCCCAGCCCAAGGAGAAUUGGUUUCUAUUGAAAUGACAGCCAUGUGUUUUCAUUUUGAAGCAUUGUUUCAUAGUGUCAUGACAUAUGGAAUAAAUGGGUAGUAUUUUAUUUAUUAAUUCAUUGCCUCUCAACUUCAAAUCCACUUGUCCUUGCUUUGCUUGUGUUACUUGGGAUGAACCUUAUAAACAUUUAUCCUUUGCCA
Molecule: long non-coding RNA, 791 nt
Organism: Sciurus carolinensis (gray squirrel)
Lineage: Eukaryota; Metazoa; Chordata; Mammalia; Rodentia; Sciuridae
Exons: 4
Source: RefSeq, a predicted model, not a curated record